This 253-nucleotide ribosomal RNA is filed under the name uncultured Sphingobacterium sp. Its description in RNAcentral is "partial 16S ribosomal RNA". It matches the Rfam family "Bacterial small subunit ribosomal RNA", at positions 524 to 776 of the family's 1533-position model. The record is from RNAcentral. Lineage: Bacteria; Pseudomonadati; Bacteroidota; Sphingobacteriia; Sphingobacteriales; Sphingobacteriaceae.
UACGGAGGAUCCGAGCGUUAUCCGGAUUUAUUGGGUUUAAAGGGUGCGUAGGCGGCUUUAUAAGUCAGAGGUGAAAGACGGCAGCUUAACUGUCGCAGUGCCUUUGAUACUGUAGAGCUUGAAUGUGAUUGAAGAUGGCGGAAUGAGACAAGUAGCGGUGAAAUGCAUAGAUAUGUCUCAGAACCCCGAUUGCGAAGGCAGCUGUCUAAGUCAUAAUUGACGCUGAUGCACGAAAGCGUGGGGAUCGAACAGG